This 1173-nucleotide long non-coding RNA is filed under the name Coffea arabica (coffee). RNAcentral describes it as "long non-coding RNA (CARA_LNC003431)". The record is from RNAcentral. Lineage: Eukaryota; Viridiplantae; Streptophyta; Magnoliopsida; Gentianales; Rubiaceae.
GCACCACUUUGGUCCAAAGAAAAGGAGUAGAUUAUCUUAUUGAAAAUGCACAGACAAGCCCAAUUAAUUAAACAAAUUCAAAUUUAAUAAAGAUAUUGGGUUUUCUCUCAAAAAAAAUGAAGAUAUUGGGUUUAAAUUCUAAAACCCAAUCACGAGCCCAAGCAAAAAUAAAUUCCAACCCAAUUUCUUAUUUUUCUUUCCUUUUUCUUUCUUUCUUUUUUUUCUUCCUUCUUCUUCCUCCUCACCUCUAGCUGGCUAAAGCUUCUCCUCGUCGGCGACCAUGACAAAUGCCGACAGCGAUUUUUGCAGAUGCUGGUUGCACCAAAAUACAACUUCCUACUCGAUUUUUUGCGUAGAAUCUAUUUCCAGACAUAGUUUUUGCAAAAAAAUGAAAGAAAUGUGAUCAAAUAUAUGAUUUACAGCCGGGUAUCAUUUUUACAACCUAUCCAAAAAAAUAUUAACAAAAUCCAUAAAAUCAUACCCAAAAGAACGGUUCUUGAUUCCACAAUCCAACCAUAAUUCAUGUUUGCAAAAGAAAGUGCAAAUACAAAAGCUUUAAAUCCAAACAGUAGCAAAACUCACACUUACUUUUGUUUCGGGCAUUUUAUCAAACAAGAACAAGGCAUAAUGAAACCAAGUUUUAGUCCAUCAAGUUUGCUUAUUCUUGACCCAAAAUUUUCAUCAAUAACCACAAGCAUCAGUACAAGAAAUAAAUCAAACAUGAUAGGAAGCUUAAACAGGCAAUGAAUCUUGAAAACAUCCAAAAAAACAUGAUUUUAAGAUGAGCAAACAAAAAGACAAAAAACAAAAAAAAUAGAAAUGAACCAGCAAUCAUAUAUUCCACAGAGUAUUAGCUACAAAUAUGUAAAAUCAAGACCAAGAAUAAAAGAAGAAACUUUACCAUGCUUUCUUGAUGUUGUGGAACUUGAUGGUGGCAGUGGUGAUUGCUAGCAGUAGCAGCUUCCUUGUUACUUUGCCCCCUCAUUUUUUUUUGAAAAAGGAAGAGACUUGAGAAAGAGAGUUGUGUGUGUGUGAUUAUUGUGUAUUAUUACGAAAUUGAGAGGAGGGAUUGAGAGAGAGUCGAGAGAGGGGAGUUGGGGAUGUUGUUGUGUAUUAGUGUAUAAGAGUGAAAUUGAGGAAUCGGGAGGGAGAGGGAGUGAUUUUUUUUUUUUU